GGGGACAAGAGAGGAGAGAAAAGGAGCGGGGGUCUCUUUGUAUCUGUGUCCAAUAUGGUCUCUUUUGAUUUUUCAUUCUCCAUAGUGAAGGGCUCCCCAGGGACUCUCAUCUGUUACAGACUGGGCUGUACCUGCCUGCCUGUGUGAAAGUUGCUCAGCUGCUGCCCGGAUGAGGGGAACAUAUCACAUCUAUCUCCCUGGCAUCCGCUGAGCCCGCGGCCUGCAAGGAUCAUGCCCCACGUGGAGCACAAAGGCAGGUCUGAAGAGAAAGGCCGACCUUGUGCAUUGUCGGAUGCUCUUUGUGUUGGACGCUGGGGGUCAGCGCUUGCUCCACAUUCUUGCUUACUCUGUGAGACAGGAGGAGAGUUCCCGUGUGCAGGAUCCAGAAUUCAUGCUGGAGAUGAAUUUUACUAAGUCAUUUGGAAAGCAUCAUUCAAUUCUUCAUACUCAGUAAUAGUCACUGUGGCCUGCUUCUGCAGACCUAAGGGAGGGAGGCAUGGCUCACAUCCAGUGUACUCAACUGGUAUGCUAGUUGAUAAAAUGAAUGUUAGAUUUACAUCCAAAUAAACAGCUUUGAAUCCUU
Molecule: long non-coding RNA, 583 nt
Filed under: Mus spicilegus (steppe mouse)
Lineage: Eukaryota; Metazoa; Chordata; Mammalia; Rodentia; Muridae
Description: lncRNA (ENSMSIG00000028996.1)
Source: RNAcentral